GUCCGGUCUGAGCGCAGUGCUGUUUACAACUGAUUGAUCACAACCAGUUACAGAUUCCUUUGUUCUUUCUACACAGCCACUGCUUCACUUGAGUAGCCUUAA
Unclassified non-coding RNA from Otolemur garnettii (small-eared galago), 102 nucleotides. It matches the Rfam family "Y RNA". From Rfam's summary of the family: Y RNAs are components of the Ro ribonucleoprotein particle (Ro RNP), in association with Ro60 and La proteins. The Y RNAs and Ro60 and La proteins are well conserved, but the function of the Ro RNP is not known. Lineage: Eukaryota; Metazoa; Chordata; Mammalia; Primates; Galagidae. The record is from Ensembl.